Molecule: transfer RNA, 73 nt
Filed under: Bos taurus (domestic cattle)
Lineage: Eukaryota; Metazoa; Chordata; Mammalia; Artiodactyla; Bovidae
Also listed under: 4 other names
Rfam family: tRNA
About the family: Transfer RNA (tRNA) molecules are approximately 80 nucleotides in length. Their secondary structure includes four short double-helical elements and three loops (D, anti-codon, and T loops). Further hydrogen bonds mediate the characteristic L-shaped molecular structure. tRNAs have two regions of fundamental functional importance: the anti-codon, which is responsible for specific mRNA codon recognition, and the 3' end, to which the tRNAs corresponding amino acid is attached (by aminoacyl-tRNA synthetases). tRNAs cope with the degeneracy of the genetic code in two manners: having more than one tRNA (with a specific anti-codon) for a particular amino acid; and 'wobble' base-pairing, i.e. permitting non-standard base-pairing at the 3rd anti-codon position.
Source: Rfam by way of RNAcentral
UCCCUGACAGUCCAGUGGUUAAGACUCUGUAUUGCCACUAUAGGGGGCACAGGUUCAAUCCCUAGUCAGGGAA